Molecule: RNA transcript, 6573 nt
Organism: Scylla paramamosain (green mud crab)
Lineage: Eukaryota; Metazoa; Arthropoda; Malacostraca; Decapoda; Portunidae
Exons: 2
Source: RefSeq, a predicted model, not a curated record
AGUUGAAGUGGGCGCGCCUGCGAGAGGCUCACAGACUAGUCAGCGAGUCCCGCCAAAACGAGUCUUAAGGCCCUGAAGGUUUGUUGUUGUGGGGAUUUUGGCGGGAGAGGCGAGCGAGAGAGAGACAGGGUGCAGAGUAGUGGUGGAUUUGCCAUUUGAUUUGCAGGUAUGUUAUUGGGAUUUGAUGUAUUCUUUCAUGGUGAAACAGUGUACAUUGGGGGACAUUAUUGGGAGAUAGGGUGGUGAUUUGUACGCUUGGUUGGCAGGAGUUUGGUCUUGGCAGUGUGCUGUGGGACGUCAGUGAGGUGGCACCGUAGCAGAUACUGUGAACUAAGGAGGCUGCAUUGAGGAACUUGCUGUCCCUGGCUGCUAUGGUGUUAGUACCGCCGUGCAUGGAGGAAGAGCUGCAGUACUUCAGGGUAGUGGUUGUGGUGUACCUUCAGCGCGUUGGGUCGGUGUGCGGUUGGGCCUAUAGGGUGUGAGGGUCAUGGGGGUACUGGUUAGGGUGGGACAGUGUCAGUGGCAUAUAACAUUUCUUGUGUUGGUGCGUGAAGUGUUUAUUUCUCCUUUUUAUUUGUAUGUGGAUUUACCCAUUUUCUCAUGGGAUCAGGUAUUUUGGAGUGCCAGCAGUGUGGCCUCUAAGAGUGUUAAGCACUCAUAUUUUAUUUGUGUUUUCUUUAUUAUGUACUCAUUUGUGUUUUCUUUAUUAUGUACUCAACCAUUAAAUUUUUAAAUUGUGGCCCGGGUUUCUGUGAACUUAAGCAGGAGGUUUAAAUUAAUCAGUGGGUUCUUGUGGUGAGUGCUUGGUGAGCCUAAUUAAGGUAGGUUAACUGUGCCCUAGUUUGGCACUCAUUACAAUUGGUAGCAGAGCGUAGUUUUAUGCCCUUUUGGGGAAAUUGUUUCAAACUCCUGCUUGGGUCCAGUGCUUUUGGCAAAAUCCACUUAAGUGUUAGUGUGGCACUACUCCUGCACAAUGGAGGAUUUGUUGUGUUUGGAUGAUGUUGAUGGCCAAGGUGUAGCUGGGGUUAAAGUUGAGUGUAAGGAGGAGAGCAGGGAGGUGGAAGUGACCCCAGAGGUAGUUGAUAAAUUAAUCAGUACCAAUGCUCAGUUAUCCCAAGCAGUGGCACAACUGUGUAAUAAGUUUGACCAAAUGGGGCACAUGCAAAACAUGGUGUGGUCACGUCCUGUCCCCACUAUUGGAAAAUUCUCUGGAAGGGUACGGAGGGCCAGUGAGUUGGAUGACUGGGUAGAGGAUGCCACAGAGAAAAUAAAGCAGCUGGGAUUACAGGGCUCUGAGGGAGUGUCGUACCUGUGUGGGUUCUUGAAAGGCCCAGCCCGUCGAAGGGUCCGCAACAGUACUGUGAAGACUGUGUCUGACCUUUUUGAUUGUUUGAGGUCUUCUUUUGGACCAGAACUGAAUUAUACAGACUUAGAAAAACAGCUGCAUGCUCGGGUUCAACAGCCGGGUGAAGGAGUGUGGGAAUUUGCUGAUUCGCUGGGUGUUAUUGUGGAUAAAAUGUACAAAGUGAGAGACAAGGGAGAUAAAGAACGGCAAUGGCUGCUAACUACAUGGUUCUGUAGGAAUUUGAGAGACAGAAAAGUAGGAGUGAAGUUGGGAAAAUGGUGGGAAAAGCACCAGCCUGUGAAGUGGGAGGACAUGGUUCAGCGAGCAGCAGACCAAGUGAGUGAGGCUGAGCGGAUUGUGAAGGAAGAAGCAGAGUUAGUGAGUGGGAAAAAGCCAGAGAGAGUUGUGAGGAGUACCCUUUCUUCACCAUCUUGCUCCUUGUGUGGACAACAUGGACACUUGGGAUAUCAGUGUGAACGGUUCAAGGAGUUGGUGUCCAAGACAGCGGGAAAACGGGAGUCCUUGAGAACAAGGGGCCAGCUCUCAAGGCCUGACGACAGGGCCCCCACUACAGCUCAGAUAAGGAGUGUGACUAAUGUGACCGAGGAACGGAAUGAUGUAAAAAGAGGGAAAGUUAAGUUGUUUGGAAAGACUCUGAGGAUAGAUGCAUUGGUGAAUGGUAUACCUGUAAGUGCUAUGGCUGAUUCUGGUGCUGAGGUCAGUCUGGUGACAGAGGAAUGGUACAAACAGCACCUCCUCCCCAAGCAAGCUGUGAUCUAUGGGAUGGACAUUCGGAUUACAGAUGCAAAUGGGAGGGAAAUUCCCUGUUUGAGCUAUGUGAAGGUGAAUGUGGAAAUUGAGGGAAAAAGUGUUAAAGACUGUGGACUUUUUGUGAAAGGUGGUGGUGGGGAGAGUGGUGUGGUGCAGGGCACUACAUUGUCAGUGUUGUUUGGGAUGAAUGUGUUGAAGGGAGCCGUGCGCCUGGGGCUAACUGAGAAGUGGGGCAGGUGUGUCUGUGCCAUUGAGGCAAAAUUGAGGGUGACACAACAGCCUCUGGGGUUUGCUGUAAUUCAGCAGCAACAGGAUUUAGUAAUCCCGGCUGGUACCAGAAGAAUAAUGAGAGUGUUUGUGGAAAGUUUACAGGAAGUAGAUGUAGAUAGUGUGGUGUUGGAGCCCUUAGUGCCUGGUGAGGGCUACUGGGUGCCUGAAGGUUUGUGUAUAUUUCCCAGUUAUACCAGAGUGGUUAAGGGUGAAGGAUGACUGUCAGUGGGUAACCUGGGACAAGCAGAUGUGCAAUUCAGGCCACAGUGGAAGGUAGCCAAAGUUUCUCAUGGAAGGGAGGUUACUGUGGGAAGAGCUCACACACACACAGUAGCUCAGACUGCACCUCCUUCAGUGGUUAAGGAGUUCAGGGACAGACUAGGGGUGCAGGUGGAUGAGAGUCAGCUUGAUUCAGCACAGUUGGAGAGACUGGAUGGAUUGAUCCAUGAGUACGGAGAUGUGUUUGCUGAAAACGAGCAGGAUUUGGGAUGUGCUACUGGAGUGGAGCAUGAAAUUCACCUCAAUAGUGCAGUGCCCAUUCGCCUUCCAUACAGACAUAUUCCUCCCCCAUGUAUCACUGAGGUUAAAGCUCAUAUAAAGGGACUGUUGGAACAGGGAGUGAUAGAGGAGAGUGUGAGCCCAUAUGCAGCCCCAAUAGUGAUGGUGAGGAAGAAAGAUGGUUCGCUGCGACUUUGUGUUGAUUAUCGAAGGCUGAACGAGGUGACAGUGAAAGAUGCCUUCCCAUUACCAAGGGUACAAGACACACUAGAUGCAUUAGCCGGGGCACAGUAUUUUUCUUCUUUUGAUUUAGCUGCAGGUUAUCAUCAGAUUCUUGUGCGGGCAGAAGACCGGCCCAAGACUGCUUUUGUAACACCAUUUGCCCAUUAUCAAUAUGUGCGCUGUCCUAUGGGGUUAUCCAAUAGCCCAGCAACAUUCCAAAGGUUUAUGGAGUAUGUGUUUAGCGAUCAGGUUUUUGUGACUCUUUUGGUGUAUCUGGAUGAUUUGUUGGUGUUUGCUCGGAGUGUGGAUGAGCAUCUGGAUAGACUGGAGGGAAUGUUGAAGCUUUUGAGGAAACAUGGGCUGAAGUUGAAACCUUCCAAAUGCCACAUACUAAAGCCCCAGGUUAGGUACCUUGGAUUUAUUAUUUCUAAGGAGGGAAUUAAUACAGACCCAGAGAAAAUACGGGCUGUACAGGAGUGGCCAGUUCCGCGCACUGUUAGGGAGGUCAGGGCAUUUGUCGCAUUCUGCUCCUUUUACAGAAGGUUUGUGAAAAAUUUUGCGAAGGUGGCUGCUCCGUUGCAUGCUUUGAUGAGUGGUGAUUCUAAGGCAGCAGUGAGUGAUUAUUGGGGGAAGGAUGAGGCCAGAACAUUUGCCUUGUUGAAAGAGAAGUUAAGUCAGGCUCCAGUGUUGAAAAGUGCAGAUUACAGCAAGCAGUUUGUGGUGGAGACAGAUGCUAGCUUUGAAGGACUGGGAGCAGUUUUAUCUCAGGAGCAUGAUGGGAGGUUGCAUCCGGUGGCUUUUGCAAGUAGAGGUCUCAGAAAGUCAGAGCGGAACAUGAGCAAUUACAGCUCUAGGAAGUUGGAGCUGUUGGCUCUGAAGUGGGCAGUGACAGAGCAGUUUAAGCACUAUCUGAUGGGUGGACAUUUUAUAGUGCUGACGGAUAAUAGUCCAUUGGCACAUUUGAACUCUGCCAAGCUUGGGGCAGUGGAGAGUAGGUGGCUGGGUGACUUGGGAAGGUUUGAUUUUGAGGUGAAAUACCGGCCAGGGAAGGAGAAUGGUAACGCGGAUGGAUUGUCGAGGAGGCCCCAGGAAUUGAUUGAGGGAGGGAGGAAGAGAAGGAGAUAUGGGAAACCAGUCCUAACACCUCGGUGAAAGGGGUGGCUGUGAUGCAGGUAUGGCGUGGUGCCAGUAAGGAGCAGCUUAGGGAUAUGCAACAGUCUUGUCCAGUUGUAGGGAAGUUGUGGAGACAAAUGAUUGGUAGAGUGAGGCCAGCAGAACUAAGGCAGUUGCUACAAGUAGAGGAGUUUAGGCAAUGGUGGAGAGUGAGAGGGUCCCUCAUUAUGAGGCAUGGGAUGAUCUACUGGCGUGGAAGGGAGACAGAUUCUAGGAAGUGGAAAGUGGUGUUGCCAGUGAAUCAGAGACAAGAAGUGCUUAAAGCCGCUCAUGAUCAGUGGGGUCAUCAAGGGGUUGCUAGAACAACAUCACUAGUGAAGGAUAGGUUUGCUUGGCCAGGACUACAUGAAGACAUCAAAUUGUAUGUGGCAAAGUGCAAAGUCUGUAUCAUGGGGAAGGAGGAGGGUGUGCGGGCCAAGACUAAGUUGGGUACGUUGGAAGCCAACCGCCCCUGGGAAGUGUUGGCUGUUGACUUCACUUUGCUGGAUCCGGCCAGGGAUGGCAAGGAAAAUGUAUUGGUGGUGACGGAUGUGUUUAGCGAGUUUGCCCUGGUCUUUCCUACUAAAAACCAAAAGGCAAGCACAGUAGCCAAGAUCUUGGUGGAGGAGAUUUUUCACCGUUUUGGUUGCCCAGAAAGGGUACAUAGUGACCAGGGUAGGAAUUUUGAGGGAAAGUUAGUGCAGGAACUAUGCAAGUAUUACCAUGUAGCCAAGUCUCGUACCACCCCGUAUCAUCCUCAAGGAAAUGGGAUCUGUGAGAGGUUUAACCGCACCUUACAUGGGAUGUUAGUUACCCUUGGUCAGGAACAGCGGGAGCAUUGGCCUAGGCACUUGUCAAGCCUCACUGCCAUCUAUAAUACCACACCCCAUGCUGUCACUGGUUUUUCAUCCCAUUAUUUGUUGUUUGGUGUGGAGCCCCAUUUACCUUUGGACAGGUUCUGUGAGGAAACUGAUAGUGAGCCUACUAACCAUAGCAUGUGGAUUAGGAAGCUCAGAGAGACACAGGAGGCUGCUUGGAAAGCAGCUAAGUUGAACAUCAAGAGUUACCACAAUACCAAUAGGUGGAAGCGUCAGGAGCAAGGAAAAGCAGAGCCAUUGAGGGUGGGACAAAGAGUGUUGCUAAGGGACAAUGCAGUACUAGGUAGGAGGAAGAUUCAGCCUAAGUUUGCAGCUGAGGUGUGGGAAGUUGAGGAGGUGUUGGAUGGGGUGAGUGGGGUGUAUAGGGUCAGACCAGAAGGUGAGUCCGGCUGUAGUAAGGUGUUACAUCGCAGUAACUUGCGUCCUUGGAAUGGCAGUGAGGGCCAUGCAGGGACAAGUAAUGAAGUGCCAGCAGGGACAAGUAAUGAAGGGCCACCAGAGGAGGAAGUAGAAAUGCCAGAUAUGACAGAAGUGUUAAAGCGCUUUGGGUUUCCAGAACCGGACUCAGAGGAACAAGUGGACUCAGUGGUUGAGCAGGAGGGAGAGGAUGCCCUAGGGCCUGGUGAAGAGCCAGAUGAACAGAGUGGUGAAGGCUCAGAGCAGGUUAAAGGGGUUCAGGCCCCUCAACUCAGGAGGUCUAGUAGGAUUGCUGAAAGGGGUGCAACGGGUUCGUCUUGUGUUGGCUGUGGGGAUUGUGCAUGAGGGCAUGCACAAAGUUCAGGGGGGGUGAGUGUAAGAAGUUGAAGUGGGCGCGCCUGCGAGAGGCUCACAGACUAGUCAACGAGUCCCGCCAAAACGAGUCUUAAGGCCCUGAAGGUUUGUUGUUGUGGGGAUUUUGGCGGGAGAGGCGAGCGAGAGAGAGACAGGGUGCAGAGUAGUGGUGGAUUUGCCAUUUGAUUUGCAGGAGUUUGGUCUUGGCAGUGUGCUGUGGGACGUCAGUGAGGUGGCACCGUAGCAGAUACUGUGAACUAAGGAGGCUGCAUUGAGGAACUUGCUGUCCCUGGCUGCUAUGGUGUUAGUACCGCCGUGCAUGGAGGAAGAGCUGCAGUACUUCAGGGUAGUGGUUGUGGUGUACCUUCAGCGCGUUGGGUCGGUGUGCGGUUGGGCCUAUAGGGUGUGAGGGUCAUGGGGGUACUGGUUAGGGUGGGACAGUGUCAGUGGCAUAUAACAUUUCUUGUGUUGGUGCGUGAAGUGUUUAUUUCUCCUUUUUAUUUGUAUGUGGAUUUACCCAUUUUCUCAUGGGAUCAGGUAUUUUGGAGUGCCAGCAGUGUGGCCUCUAAGAGUGUUAAGCACUCAUAUUUUAUUUGUGUUUUCUUUAUUAUGUACUCAUUUGUGUUUUCUUUAUUAUGUACUCAACCAUUAAAUUUUUAAAUUGUG